AGAGUUUGAUCCUAGCUCAGGAUGAACGCUCGCUGUGUGCCUAAUACAUGCAUGUUGAACGGGAUGUAGCAAUACAUUCAGUAGCGAAUGGGUGAGUAACACGUACCUAACCUACCUUUAAGACUGGGAUAACUAUUGGAAACAAUAGCUAAUACCGGAUAUAGUUAUUUAUCGCAUGAUGAGUAAUAGAAAGGAGCUUCACAGCUUCACUUAAAAAUGGGGGUGCGGAACAUUAGUUAGUUGGUAGGGUAAUGGCCUACCAAGACGAUGAUGUUUAGCCGGGCCGAGAGGCUGUACGGCCACACUGGGACUGAGAUACGGCCCAGACUCCUACGGGAGGCAGCAGUAAGGAAUUUUCCACAAUGAGCGAAAGCUUGAUGGAGCGACACAGCGUGCAGGAUGAAGUUCUUCGGAAUGUAAACUGCUGUUAUAAGGGAAGAAAAAAUAGAAUAGGAAAUGAUUUUAUCUUGACGGUACCUUAUUAGAAAGCGACGGCAAACUAUGUGCCAGCAGCCGCGGUAAUACAUAGGUCGCAAGCGUUAUCCGGAAUUAUUGGGCGUAAAGCGUCCGUAGGUUUUUUGCUAAGUCUGGAGUUAAAUGCUGAAGCUCAACUUCAGUCCGCUUUGGAUACUGGCAAAAUAGAAUUAUAAAGAGGUUAGCGGAAUUCCUAGUGAAGCGGUGGAAUGCGUAGAUAUUAGGAAGAACACCAAUAGGCGAAGGCAGCUAACUGGUUAUAUAUUGACACUAAGGGACGAAAGCGUGGGGAGCAAACAGGAUUAGAUACCCUGGUAGUCCACGCCGUAAACGAUGAUCAUUAGUUGGUGGAAUAAUUUCACUAACGCAGCUAACGCGUUAAAUGAUCCGCCUGAGUAGUAUGCUCGCAAGAGUGAAACUUAAAGGAAUUGACGGGAACCCGCACAAGCGGUGGAGCAUGU
Molecule: ribosomal RNA, 935 nt
Filed under: Klebsiella pneumoniae
Lineage: Bacteria; Pseudomonadati; Pseudomonadota; Gammaproteobacteria; Enterobacterales; Enterobacteriaceae
Description: bacterial SSU rRNA
Rfam family: Bacterial small subunit ribosomal RNA
Source: RNAcentral